Molecule: long non-coding RNA, 199 nt
Filed under: Lathyrus oleraceus (garden pea)
Lineage: Eukaryota; Viridiplantae; Streptophyta; Magnoliopsida; Fabales; Fabaceae
Description: Pisum sativum (pea) long non-coding RNA (PSAT_LNC036713)
Source: RNAcentral
AUAUGAACCAUGACAGGUAGUUCAAUCUUUCUAAGAAACCACGAACCUCUCUUUUUCUUUCUCGGUUCAGGCGUUUCUCUUAUUGUUUUUUUUUUUUUUUUUUUUUUUUNGAACCUCGAUUCCUCCCUUACAAUGAACCCCAACAGCUUACCGGAUCGCACUCUGAUAGUGCACUCACUUGAAUUCAACCUCAGUUUGA